CGGGACGGGUGAGUAACGCGUGGGUAACCUGCCUCAUACAGGGGGAUAACGGUUAGAAAUGACUGCUAAUACCGCAUAAGCGCACAGUACCGCAUGGUACAGUGUGAAAAACUCCGGUGGUAUGAGAUGGACCCGCGUCUGAUUAGCUAGUUGGUGGGGUAACGGCCCACCAAGGCGACGAUCAGUAGCCGACCUGAGAGGGUGACCGGCCACAUUGGGACUGAGACACGGCCCAG
This 236-nucleotide ribosomal RNA is filed under the name uncultured bacterium. RNAcentral's name for it is "partial 16S ribosomal RNA". It matches the Rfam family "Bacterial small subunit ribosomal RNA", at positions 100 to 334 of the family's 1533-position model. The record is from RNAcentral.